CUACGUGCCAGCAGCCGCGGUAAUACGGAGGGUGCGAGCGUUAAUCGGAAUAACUGGGCGUAAAGGGCACGCAGGCGGUGACUUAAGUGAGGUGUGAAAGCCCCGGGCUUAACCUGGGAAUUGCAUUUCAUACUGGGUCGCUAGAGUACUUUAGGGAGGGGUAGAAUUCCACGUGUAGCGGUGAAAUGCGUAGAGAUGUGGAGGAAUACCGAAGGCGAAGGCAGCCCCUUGGGAAUGUACUGACGCUCAUGUGCGAAAGCGUGGGGAGCAAACAGGAUUAGAUACCCUGGUAGUCCACGCUGUAAACGAUGUCGAUUUGGGGGUUGAACUUUAAGUUUGGCGCCCGUAGCUAACGUGAUAAAUCGACCGCCUGGGGAGUACGGCCGCAAGGUUAAAACUCAAAUGAAUUGACGGGGGCCCGCACAAGCGGUGGAGCAUGUGGUUUAAUUCGAUGCAACGCGAAGAACCUUACCAAGGCUUGACAUGC
RNAcentral lists this ribosomal RNA (487 nucleotides) under uncultured bacterium. RNAcentral's name for it is "bacterial SSU rRNA". It matches the Rfam family "Bacterial small subunit ribosomal RNA", at positions 501 to 989 of the family's 1533-position model. The record is from RNAcentral.